GAUCAUGGCUCAGAGUGAACGCUGGCGGUAGGCCUAACACAUGCAAGUCGAACGGCAGCACAGAGGAGCUUGCUCCUUGGGUGGCGAGUGGCGGACGGGUGAGGAAUACAUCGGAAUCUACUCUGUCGUGGGGGAUAACGUAGGGAAACUAACGCUAAUACCGCAUACGACCUACGGGUGAAAGCAGGGGAUCUUCGGACCUUGCGCGAUUGAAUGAGCCGAUGUCGGAUUAGCUAGUUGGG
Molecule: ribosomal RNA, 242 nt
Filed under: uncultured bacterium
Lineage: Bacteria
Description: partial 16S ribosomal RNA
Rfam family: Bacterial small subunit ribosomal RNA
Source: RNAcentral